GAUUAGCGACGAGAAAUGCUACAUAAGAGCAGUAAUACACCUGGACCUUAAGCUCGACCUUGUUCUGACAUGGGUGAUUAACUUCCUUGGGCGUCAAGUUGUGGGACACGGCUUCAGGCUAUACCUCAAGACUGUUUCUUCUGUUAAAGAGAGCAAAGUGUUUCAAGAAUGCAUCAGGCAACAGCCACUCUACAGCCACAUAACGUUACAGAUGCUACCAAAAUCGAGCCACGAAAAUGGAUACAAGAGUUGAGGUGCUUUUCAUAAGAAGUAUUCAUAAGCUUCCUGCACAAGAGCAUUUACAUUUAUAAACAAUUUAUAAACAAAGAGGAGCUUGAGGCCCACCGAUACUCCUGAAAAGUCCGAACUUA
This is a long non-coding RNA of Selaginella moellendorffii, 371 nucleotides long. RefSeq lists it as uncharacterized. The record is from RefSeq and is a predicted model, not a curated record. Lineage: Eukaryota; Viridiplantae; Streptophyta; Lycopodiopsida; Selaginellales; Selaginellaceae. The transcript has 3 exons.